RNAcentral lists this ribosomal RNA (253 nucleotides) under uncultured bacterium. Its description in RNAcentral is "partial 16S ribosomal RNA". It matches the Rfam family "Bacterial small subunit ribosomal RNA", at positions 524 to 776 of the family's 1533-position model. The record is from RNAcentral.
GACGGAAGGUGCAAGCGUUGCUCGGAAUCACUGGGCGUAAAGGGUGCGUAGGCGGCCGCGCAAGUCUGGCGUGAAAGCCCCGGGCUCAGCCCGGGAAGGGCGCUCGAAACGGCGCGGCUCGAGUGCCGGAGGGGAGAGUGGAAUUCCUGGUGUAGCGGUGAAAUGCGUAGAUAUCAGGAGGAAUACCGGUGGCGAAAGCGACUCUCUGGACGGCAACUGACGCUGAGGCGCGAAAGCUAGGGUAGCAAACAGG